Molecule: RNA transcript, 4746 nt
Organism: Megalopta genalis
Lineage: Eukaryota; Metazoa; Arthropoda; Insecta; Hymenoptera; Halictidae
Gene: Prp4k
Gene name: Pre-mRNA processing factor 4 kinase
Source: RefSeq, a predicted model, not a curated record
ACACGAUCGAACAUACAAGAUGGCAGCCCAUUAAAGAGUUCAUAUAUGCGUGUAGUUGUUUUGUGCAGUGCUUGUGUAGUUUUAUUCUUAACAAUAAUUUAACAACUUUAAUCAUGGGUUCGUCAGAUCUAGAAUGUUUAGAUGGUAAGAGAGACAUUGUUAGUAUAGAUUCGGAAUCUGAUAUGUUGAAUGACCAAAGAAAAAAGAAAAAGAGAAAACAUAAGCACCACAAGCAUAAGAAGGACAAAUUACUUGAAAGAGAAGAUGGAAAAAUUGAAAGACAGGACAGGCAUAAGAAGCAUAAACGACCUAAAAAGGAAAGGGAAGUUGAAAACGGUUCGUUGGAUGACAAAUCAUCUCGUGCUAUUCAAAAGGAUGUCGGUAUAAACGGCAAAAUGAAGAAUUCCUUACUGGAAGUUGUUUCUACGGAGGAAAGCGAAGAUGAAAAGUUAAUAGAUUUAGAUUCGGAUGAGGUAGACUGCACAAUUAUCGAAGAUGAUAUAGAUCUUGAAGAAUUAAUGAAACAAAAGGAACGGUUACAAGCAUGUUUAGUACAAUAUCUCUCAGAUGAAUCUGAGAAAGACGAUAAAGAAGCCGAUCAAGAGGAAGUAAAGACUACUGAAACACCGGAUGUUAUACUUGUGGAGGAUGACAGUGAUAAUGACAAUGUACCCCCCAAAAAACGAGCUAGGAGUAAAUCUGGUAGCAGGGAACGGAAAAAGAUAACAAAACCUGAAAGGCGUGUUGUUGUAGAUAUGAGCAGGGAUCGUAGAAGUCGGGAGGAACAUAAAGAUAAACGGCGAGACUCUGAUAGACGCAGAGACGAAAAGGUACGUACAAAAGAAGAAUUGAGGAGAGAUGAGAGCAGAAGGGACGAUAGACAAACACGAAAGAUAAGUGAUAGACACAGGGAAGAGUCCCGUAAGGAGGACAAUAAUAGACGAUCGGAAGAUAAUAAGCGUAAAGAAACUAUCAAAAAGGACGAGUCGCGUAAAAGGGAACAAGACAGACGGGAAGAGGAACGACGGAGAGAAACGGAUCAUCACAAUUCCAGAUCGCGUAACGAUUAUAAAUCGUUGGAAAACCGAGAACGACAAAGCAGUCGAGAUCGUCACGUCAGUCGAGAUCGACACGUGAGUAAGGAUAGACACGUUAGCCGCGAUCGUCAUGUAAGUCGUGAUCGACAUGUUAGCAGAGAUCGUCAUGCUAGUCGGGAUCGUCACGCCAGUAGAGAUCGUCCAAGCAGCCGUGAUCGUCGCAGUCGAGAGAGACCUUCCAGCAGAGACAGACAUAGUCGUGAUAAAAGAGAUAGCAGAGAGCGUCAUGCGAGUCGUGACCGACACAGGGAAAGUCGAAAUAGUCGUGACCGUAAUGACAUACGGGACAAUCGAAACCGCGAGAGGAUUAGAGAGCGGUCAAGAAGUACUAGAAGAUCUCGCAGCCCUGUUAGAGGUAGACUGGACAGGGAACGUAACGAUCGGUACAAGAACUCCAGAUCAGUAUCCAGAAGUAGAAGGGACAGAGAAAAGCAUGCCAGAGAGCAUGAUAGGGACAGGGAGAAGAACGGUAAAAGAGAACGCAACGACAAGUACAAAGACUCUUUGUCGGAGGGACUAAAAGUGGAGCAUUCGGAUAGUUCUAGCGAAGAGGAUAUCAAAGAUAUUGAUAUUGAAGAAGAAGAGGACGAGGAAGCGAUUAUAGAACGUAGGCGAAAACAGAGGGAAGAACUUCUCAAAAGGUUAGGCGGACCAAACGAAGACUCCAAUAUGUCUGCCGAUAUAAACACUGUCCCAGCUACUCCGCCGUCAGAGAGUCAAUCAAACGUAUCGCAAAAGUCGUUAGAGAUUCCAUCGAACAAUAAUGAAUCCACUUCAGAAAGUCAUACUCCACCACUGCCUGAAAAGCCAAAGUCGCCGCAAACGGUUAAAAAAAGAAAAUCCAGAUUCGACGAUACACCAUCAGAAGACAUCGAAAAGAACGACGACACAAAAUCCAUUGAGAAACUCAAACCAGAGGAGAACGCGAAGAAACCAAACGAAUGGGAUAUGUUCGCUGAAGCGGAUAAUAUCGGCGAUUUUAGCAGUCCUACCGUCGAAGGAAAACGACAAGGUGGGCCAGAUAACCCGAGUUUAACAGACAACUGGGACGAUGCAGAAGGCUAUUAUCGAGUACGAGUCGGUGAAACAUUAGAUUCCCGAUACGUUGUCUAUGGAUAUACAGGACAAGGUGUAUUUAGUAAUGUUGUCAGGGCUAGAGACAGUGCUAGAGGCAACUUGGAUGUUGCUGUAAAAAUAAUAAGGAAUAAUGUAUUAAUGCAUAAAACUGGCCUUAAGGAAUUAGAAAUUCUUAGAAAACUUAAUGAUGCAGAUCCGGAAGAUAGAUUCCAUUGUUUACGACUUUUUAGGCACUUCUUUCACAAAAAUCAUUUAUGUAUGGUUUUUGAACCUUUAGCCAUGAAUUUAAGAGAGGUAUUGAAAAAGUAUGGCAAAGACGUUGGUUUACACGUUAAAGCGGUAAGAUCGUAUACGCAGCAACUUUUCCUUGCUCUCAAGUUAUUAAAACGUGCAAACAUUCUUCAUGCUGACAUCAAACCGGAUAACAUUCUAGUCAGUGAAAGCAAACUAGUAUUGAAACUCUGCGAUUUCGGCUCUGCAUCCCAUGCACACGAGAACGAUAUGACACCGUAUUUGGUGUCAAGGUUUUAUCGAGCACCUGAAAUUAUUCUUGGUAUACCAUAUGAUUUCGGAAUUGACAUGUGGUCGGUUGGAUGCACCAUAUAUGAAUUGUACACGGGCAAAAUAAUGUUCUCGGGUAAAACGAACAACCAAAUGUUGAAAUUCUUCAUGGACCUGAAGGGAAAAAUGCCCAAUAAACUGAUUAGGAAGGGCACGUUCAAGAACCAACAUUUUGACACUAACUGCAAUUUCCUGUAUCAUGAAGUUGAUAAGGUUACGGAGCGGGAAAAAGUUGCAGUCAUGUCAACGUUGCCUGCUACGCGCGACCUUGGCGCAGAGCUGGGUGGGAAUUCUUUACCACCGGAGCAAAGUAGAAAAGUUGGACAGCUGAAGGACCUGUUGGAACGAACAUUGAUGCUGGAUGCCGGAAAGAGAAUUACUGUGAACCACGCUCUGGCACAUCCCUUUAUACAAGAAAAGAUCUAGGUAACCCUGUCCGGGGUCCAUCCACAACGGAGAAUUCAUUGACGUAAAUUUACAAAACCUGUUUGAAAUGACACCGCUUACGAUUCGUUGUAUAUUAUAAAACAAACUAACAUAAGGCGGUGUCCCUUUAUAUAGAAUGUGUCUUGUAUUCGUUUUAGCAGAAAGAGGCGGUGCAAAAUUUCACGAUUCACUCUAAACUCCCGUCUAACCGAUACAGAGAGAAACAUUUGAAGAGAAACAUAAUAUAUAUAUGAAUAUAUAAUCAUACACAAGGGAAAGAAAAAAUUACUUGAAAUCACACAUACAUAUGACGUUGUACUCUAUCAAUCUGAGCUGUAUUAUUUAAUGAUUGAUAACUAUUGCAGGUCAAUAGAGUGCAAUAUUUUUAUAUUAAAGUUAGAACCACUGCAAAACGACGAAUAAAAAUGUUGGAGAAUUCACAGAUGUAUCACACGCAACGCAUAAUAUGGAUCGGUACAAUAUAGUGUAUCAGGGCGUAGUAAAUUCGCAGUAAAUUCUUCUUUUUCUUUAAAACUCGAGUUGUUUUGCUUAGAUAUAGUUUAUUUCUUUUUCUCUGUGCACAGCACCUAUAAAGUAAAUAAAACAACGAUGCUACACACUAAGAAGAAGAGGCAUGCAGAAUUUCGUACGUGGUAAUCGUGUUCUCUUCCGUGGACGAUAUGAACUGGGAAAAAGUGACCGCCUCUUUCAGCACUGGCCAUCGAUACUUAGCAUAAUGGUGAUGAGUCUUCGAUUCAAAGCAUCGUUAAGUGCGAGCGGACCUAUGCGGGCUUUUAACGCCGAUCCCGUUGCAAGCCCUCCCCGUAAGGAGGGGAGGCAAUGGAAGAGAUGAUGAGAUCAGUUGGUGGAAAGCACUGAUGACAAAGGAUAUGGGGUAGGAUCCUCGCAGCGGCUGCUUCGCUUCUUGUGUGUAAAAUGACGACACUGUCACAACAGGGAUCAGCAAAUGUUUAAUUAAAUUUGUAACAGCAGGAAGGUUUGUCUUAAUGUUUCGAUUGAGAUUUAUGAAAACCGUAAGUAUGUGAACAGGUAAGGUACAUGUCUGUGAGAAUUCUAAAUUAUCAUAUAAUGAAUUAUAUGUAGAAAUGAUCUAAAUGCCGCGUAUGUACAUAGAUAUGUAUAUACUCAACUACAGGUAACAUUGAAGAGAACGUAAUACUAAUAUCUUUGGCCUUCAGUUUUCAGAUGACUAUAAGCAAAAAAAAAAUCUUUGAAAAUAGUUUUAAUGCGAAUAGACAAGUUUUACAUGUGAAAAAGUACUAUAACGAUCGCCGUAAUAAAUUAUACGUAUACAUAAUGGGAUAAAUAAAUUUAUUUCACGCUGUACCUUGAUACAGUACUUUACAUCUAGCAAUAAAGAAAUUACAUUUUUGUAGACCGCACACGAUCCCUGCCGUCGAUGCAAAACAUUGUUGAGCAUCUUUAUUAUCAUAUAUAUAUAUACAUAUGAUAAUUUGUGUUAAAUUUAGAUUUAUUCAUACAUAUAUCUCUUAAAGAUAUUGUUAUCCCUGUCUUAAACGUUUAUGUAAGAAAUUCAAAUAUAAGUACGCUCUUUAAACAUUUA